Molecule: long non-coding RNA, 1518 nt
Organism: Astatotilapia calliptera (eastern happy)
Lineage: Eukaryota; Metazoa; Chordata; Actinopteri; Cichliformes; Cichlidae
Source: Ensembl
CAGUUUUUAAACAGCAUUUAUUUAGCUUUCUCCAUACAAUACAUUUAAUGUACAACAGCACAUACUGUAUUCUCAAAUAACUCUCAGUAUAAAAUAGGGCUUCUACAAUCAAGGUACAGUCAUAAAAUGCUCUGAGGGACAUGACGACAGCAACAGUAAAACACCUUCAUAUAAAGCGCAGGAUAUUGAGAGAAGUGAUUGUAUUUGCCAAGCUGCUGCUGUAGGAAGCAGAACUUCAGACCCCACCUCUCAGAGCAUCUGACAUCCUGCAAGAACCCGUUUUAUGUUUCUCUUGGUUCUGGUUUGUCAACUGAAGCGGCUCCAAAUGAUGAUCAAAUCAUAAGAACAUGAUCUAUUACUGCUGAAAAUACAACUUUUGUUAACAUGGGAGGAUAAAAUCAGGCCUUGUUUGGCUAUUAUAUACACAUAGGUGAUAAUACACCAAAGUCAAAGUGCACUCAGCAUUAUGACUGAUGAUCAAGCGUAUCUUAACAAUCAUUUAUUGAACUGUUUGUGACUGGAGCUGUAAAAACAGGAUUGUUUCUGAGUGUUUCCUGACACAAAACACUGAAUUACAGCAAAAGUAUACCAUACUAUCACUGAAGCCACAAGAAAGCGAUCUUAUUUCAACAUUAUAAGUAAACAUCAGCCAAUUAUAGAAUGUCUUUAAAAGGAAUUUUAUCUGCAGAUGUGCAUCGGAGUGCGCGCGGGCCUAUAUAGCGUCGAUAAAUGUGUCUUUAAAUAGAAUACACGUAACACUGACCAGCUUUUGUGUUAGUUUGCUAUUACGUAGUGCUUCUGGUGGAGGAUAUACAUUACAUAUCAUAUCCAAUUAGUAUGAGAGAAGGCCUAGAUACAAGGAAACGUAAAAAUAGAGAGAAAGGAGAGAUUUGUCUCAAGUCUUGAGGUAAGCAGUGUGUUUCGAUAUAAUGCCCUACAGACAAUCAUACAGUUACAAUCAUUAAUUCUCUAUAUACAAACUUCCUGAUUUACAUACACUGUACUGCUCCUCAGUUUGUAAUUGAAUAAAACUAAAUAUGAGACUAUGGUGCAAACUUUUUCAAGCGAGGAGGGGAGUCUGACUUCACAAAGCCCGUUUUCAUGAUGUGGGUGAUAAUGAACGUUACAAUAUGGCUAUUGAAGAUGGCCUGCUUCCUCUUGCAUACGUCACACAUACUAUCAAAUAUCUACAACAGUGCAAAUUUUCCUGAUCGAUCAAAACACUUGCAAACAAUUGGAAAAACUACAUCAGCUCACUUUUGAAGUUGUACGGUGGACGAGAAGAAUGCAAGUUGGCGAUGGACAAUUGUCUGAAUAGAUGCCGACAUCGAAAACUCACAUGCCUGUGCAUUUAACAGUAUAUAUUAAUUAAUUUGGCAUGUUUUAGGGGUAACAUUAACUCUGCGUACUGUGUCACACAAAUGAAUAAAGUCUACCGUGGCACGAUGGCUCGAAUGAAAGACAAAAGUAAGAGGACAAACCUGCACUCUGCCCCGCAUAGCUCUGCUUGGAUGUAGG